Camelus dromedarius (Arabian camel) is the source of this 138-nucleotide small nucleolar RNA. Lineage: Eukaryota; Metazoa; Chordata; Mammalia; Artiodactyla; Camelidae. The record is from Ensembl.
UUGGCCCUGAAUCAAGGCCAGUAGUUUGCUGAAGCUGUUGGUUUCAAGCAGGAGCCUAAAGAAAGUGCCUUUCUAUGGUCUGUUGGCCAUUUCAGAACUGUGGAAGUGUAAUGGUCAGUUCAUUAGAAAGAAACAUCU